AUUUGAACCCCAAAAUGCUCAUGGAACUUAUGGUCAAUACAUGAAGCUAUUCCUCGUUUCUGUGUGCUGUUCGAUACUAAACAACAUUUUCUGCCAAUGCAUAAACUCAGUCUGGCAACUAGAGAACGUUCCAACGGCCGCCAUGUUGGUCACUGGUUAUAUCACGCGGGUGCUGUAGUUCCGUAACAUAAGAUAAGUGUGGUUCUUAGAUUGUGCAGGUCCUGGUUAGUUUUCUUCGAUAUUUUUUCAGGAAAAGGCACAUUUUUCUCAUAAUUUCAUUAACCACCGAAAUAUACCCUAAGGUAAAUUGCUUGCUUAAACCAUAGACAUUAAGGAGGCCUAAACAGAGAGAUCAAACUUAAGCGAACUGUUUCUACAUCAAGUGCCUUGAACAUACGUCACUAGCGCGGUAGUUAUUCAUUAUUCAGCGUCCUUCCUUUUGCAGUGUUCUGAGUUUAAUGACGCGACCACUUCGAUUCGCAUGUUUUAUAACAUACCAGCCAACCACUAUUUUGUCAUCUCUCAGACAUGCCACAUAAAAUGAGAACUCGUGGAACCACUAGAACACUACAAUCCAGCAACGACGAAGAGACAAAAAAUUGUGCCCGCAGUGAGGAUUCCCUAUUGGAGAUUGGUCAGGCAGUCCGGGGGGAAGAGGAAAGGCUCAGGGAAGACUUGAAAACAGGACUUCAAAGGAAGAAAAAUCACCUGAAUGACCGUAGUACAGGUGGGUAUAAUUGGAACGUUCCAAAAUUAAUCUGUUCCCAAAACUUCGUAAAUAAUAAGGUUGCCAACAAACAAGCAUACAAAGUUGUAUAGCGGCCGAAUAAGAUACCGGGUAGGGAGUGGGCUAUUUCAUUAAGUAUUUCACUCACCACUUUUAUUCUAAAAAAUGUCUGCUCACUCUGGUAGGCUAUGGACAAACAUUAAGAAUAAGCUACGUGGUGAGUUGAUGUCUAUUCAGCAGCUAGUUAGCAAGGUGAAUUGAUCUACUUUGUGUGUUGUUUUUGGCAACCUUGUACUUUACAAAGUUUUUGGCACUGAUUCCUGUUGAAACGUUCCAAUUAUACCCACACCCACAGUACUGUCAUAGAGCCAGAGAGAUGCUUUGAAAAUGUCAAGAUAUUUUGUUCUCCUUAAUAAUAGGAUGGUGUCAUCUAUGGCUAUUCCAUGUCUGGCUUUGUGGUUAAUGUGUCCACCCUUAGAUUGGAAGGUUGGGGGUUCAAUCCCCAGUCAAGUUAUACCAAAGACUCAAAUGGGACCUGAUGGAUCUGCUAGGCUUUUGGCACUAAGGAAAUGGAUUGGGGGUAAGGCCCUGCGGCAGACUAGCAUCCUGUCUAGGGGGUAUAAUUUUACAUCAAGCUGCCUAACGAUAUACAGAAACAGGAGAUAGGCUCUUGCUCUAUGGGUUGUUAUGGCUUGUUAAGGCUUAUUUACUAUGCCAGUUUGGGAUCAAGGAUUUGAAGACUCUUCCCAACCAAACUGGUUGUUGGGAUGUUUGGAACUCCCGGGCCUGUAACUUCAUGCGAGACAUGAAAGCGGGGCAGCAAGUAUUCUUCUAGCACAGUAACUACAAGGAGCCUGGAAUAUCUGUGAGUUAUGACGGUGAGUAAAGGAGUCCUAUGUGGACCACAGUCAGUUUGACAAGACAGAUGUCCAUUACGACACCUCCAGCAAGGCAGACAACCCCAGAUGGAGUAUGGUAUGAAUGAUUUCAUGUUUACAUUUGUUUGUGUUCCAAAUGGCUUGAGGUCAAGAUACAUCACUGAUAUGUAACAGGCUUUUUAAAAAUCACAAUCCAAUUUAGACUGUACUAGUGCUCUGCUGGCUUGGUUGGUGUCCAGUUUGUGAGGAUGUUGAAGUACUUCAUUCCUCUGUCUGAGUUGAAGAAGACCCACCUGCAGCACAAGGCGGGGCCCUGAAUGGCAUGGCUCUUCACCAGGGCCAGGCUGUCUGUCCAGCCCCUCACCAGUGGUACGUGGAGAUCAGUGACACUGAGUAAUAAUGGUUGUCAAAUCUCCACCUCAUCAUAUUUUACAAAGCUUUUGUCUAAGUAAAAUCAUAUAUUAUUUUUUUUUAAAUGAGUUUGGAGGACAAAGACCCACUGUGAAGAUUUGGACAAGAUGAUGCUGCUAAUAUGUUUACUGUCUAUUGAACCAUUGUGCUUGUAUUGAAUGAAAAUUGGCUCAAGGUUUCUGUUUGUCAGACACCUUGGAGUUCAUUUCUAAUAUUAAAUGUUUAU
Oncorhynchus tshawytscha (Chinook salmon) is the source of this 2242-nucleotide long non-coding RNA. RefSeq lists it as uncharacterized. The record is from RefSeq and is a predicted model, not a curated record. The transcript has 3 exons. Lineage: Eukaryota; Metazoa; Chordata; Actinopteri; Salmoniformes; Salmonidae.